RNAcentral lists this ribosomal RNA (267 nucleotides) under uncultured bacterium. RNAcentral's name for it is "partial 16S ribosomal RNA". It matches the Rfam family "Bacterial small subunit ribosomal RNA", at positions 337 to 601 of the family's 1533-position model. The record is from RNAcentral.
UCCUACGGGGGGCAGCAGUGAGGAAUAUUGGUCAAUGGCCGCAGGCCUGAACCAGCCAAGUCGCGUGAGGGAUGACGGUCCUAUGGAUUGUAAACCUCUUUUGUCGGGGAGCAAAGGGCGCCACGUGUGGCGUUUUGCGAGUACCUGAAGAAAAAGCAUCGGCUAACUCCGUGCCAGCAGCCGCGGUAAUACGGAGGAUGCGAGCGUUAUCCGGAUUUAUUGGGUUUAAAGGGCGCGCAGGCGGAAGGUCAAGUCAGCGGUAAAAUU